Molecule: ribosomal RNA, 388 nt
Filed under: uncultured bacterium
Lineage: Bacteria
Description: bacterial SSU rRNA
Rfam family: Bacterial small subunit ribosomal RNA
Source: RNAcentral
GACGAACGCUGGCGGCGUGCUUAACACAUGCAAGUCGAGCGGUAAGGCCCUUUCGGGGGUACACGAGCGGCGAACGGGUGAGUAACACGUGGGUGACCUGCCCUUAGCUCUGGGAUAAGCCUGGGAAACUGGGUCUAAUACCGGAUAUGACUCCAUGACGCAUGUUGUGGGGUGGAAAGCCUUGUGCGGCUAGGGAUGGGCCCGCGGCCUAUCAGCUUGUUGGUGGGGUGAUGGCCUACCAAGGCGACGACGGGUAGCCGGCCUGAGAGGGCGACCGGCCACACUGGGACUGAGACACGGCCCAGACUCCUACGGGAGGCAGCAGUGGGGAAUCUUGCGCAAUGGGCGAAAGCCCUGACGCAGCGACGCCGCGUGAGGGAUGACGGCC